This 236-nucleotide ribosomal RNA is filed under the name uncultured bacterium. Its description in RNAcentral is "partial 16S ribosomal RNA". It matches the Rfam family "Bacterial small subunit ribosomal RNA", at positions 32 to 264 of the family's 1533-position model. The record is from RNAcentral.
AAUCAACGCUGGCGGCGUGCCUCAGACAUGCAAGUCGAACGAUUAAGACUCUCUUCGGAGAGUGCAUAAAGUGGCGCACGGGUGAGUAACACGUAAGUAAUCUACCUUUGGGUGGGGAAUAACAGUCGGAAACGACUGCUAAUACCGCAUAAUGCAGCGGCUCCUUAUGGAGACAGUUGUUAAAGAUUUAUCGCCUAAAGAGGAGCUUGCGGCAGAUUAGCAGUGUAGGUAACGGC